CGAAUUAGAGGCAGAGGAAGAGCCAGAGGAGUUUUUGCUGGGACAAAUACUGGUCCAAACAACUCAAAUACUACUUUUCAAAAGAGACCGAAGGAAGAGGAAUGGGAUCCAGAAUAUACCCCAAAGAGCAAGAAGUACUUCUUGCAUGACGACAGAGAUGAUGGUGUGGAUUAUUGGGCCAAAAGAGGAAGAGGUCGUGGUACUUUUCAACGUGGCAGAGGGCGCUUUAACUUCAAAAAAUCAGGUAGCAGUCCUAAAUGGACUCAUGACAAAUACCAAGGGGAUGGGAUUGUUGAAGAUGAAGAAGAGACCAUGGAAAAUAAUGAAGAAAAGAAGGACAGACGCAAGGAAGAAAAGGUAUAAAAUUUCAACUUGUGAUUCUGACAGAUUUUUUUUGAUAUAGGUUUGGUGGGUGAAUUAUUUCAUUUUUAGGAACAAUUAUUAAUAUGGUUCCUUUUCACUCUCCGCAUCUUUUGUUAAUCUUUAAUUUUUUCUCUCUCUUUUAGGAAUAAUAAAUAUGAAGUAAGAUUACAACAGAGCAGAACUUGCACCCACCAUUUUUUUUACCUGAUUUUUGUUUUCAAAUAAGAAUGUAAGCAUUUUACUUAAAUUUUACUGUUUGCAAGUAGUCUAUAGAAAUUUUGUUUUAAGUCUUCAAAUAUCUUGAGAAAUAGUAGACUGUAUGUUGAAAAUUGUACUGAAAUAAAGUAGAAAAUUGUUACGUACCAUAUUUGUAACUAUCAACUUUUAAAACUUUUAACGUUUUUGUUACAUGCAUUGUAAUUCUGCUUUGUCUAUAAGAUAUGGUCAAGUACAGCUCUGUGAAAGUUCUGAUUCUCUUCCUUCCCUGUUUGUCAAUGUUUUAUUCUGAAGUAAACGUUAGCUCUACAUAUAAAUCCUGGAACAGAAAUUGUUUAUAGAGACUACACUAAUUAUUUUAACUGUAUACAUCUGUUUAAUUUGAACACACUACAUCGUAGGGUGACUGAUUUUUGAAGUAUACCACAGACAAAAAGUUGUUACUAUGGUAAACUAAGCUAGUUUAACACUUGAGCAAAUGCUUAAGAAGGAA
RNAcentral lists this long non-coding RNA (1072 nucleotides) under Homo sapiens (human). RNAcentral's name for it is "HSALNT0113714". The record is from RNAcentral. Lineage: Eukaryota; Metazoa; Chordata; Mammalia; Primates; Hominidae.